UGUGAAGUGCCUGAUCCAAAAGGAUAAUUUUGAUAGAGUUAAGCAUGUGUUUACACCUUCAUAA
Molecule: transfer RNA, 64 nt
Filed under: Isotes sp. REN-2018
Lineage: Eukaryota; Metazoa; Arthropoda; Insecta; Coleoptera; Chrysomelidae
Description: tRNA-Ile
Source: RNAcentral